UACGUAGGGGGCAAGCGUUGUCCGGAAUUAUUGGGCGUAAAGAGCGUGUAGGCGGUUUGGUAGGUCCGCUGUGAAAACUCGAGGCUCAACCUCGAGACGCCGGCGGAAACCAUCAGACUAGAGUCCGGAAGAGGAGAGUGGAAUUCCUGGUGUAGCGGUGAAAUGCGCAGAUAUCAGGAAGAACACCCGUGGCUAAGGCGGCUCUCUAGUACGGUACUGACGCUGAGACGCGAAAGCGUGGGGAGCGAACAGG
This 253-nucleotide ribosomal RNA is filed under the name uncultured bacterium. Its description in RNAcentral is "partial 16S ribosomal RNA". It matches the Rfam family "Bacterial small subunit ribosomal RNA", at positions 524 to 776 of the family's 1533-position model. The record is from RNAcentral.